GCUGGAGUAGCUCAAAUGGCUCUGGAGCAACUGUCUUGUAAACAGUAGUUGUGAGUUCGAGGCUCACCUUCAGCA
Molecule: transfer RNA, 75 nt
Filed under: Acidobacteriota bacterium
Lineage: Bacteria; Pseudomonadati; Acidobacteriota
Description: tRNA-Thr
Rfam family: tRNA
About the family: Transfer RNA (tRNA) molecules are approximately 80 nucleotides in length.
Source: RNAcentral